Molecule: ribosomal RNA, 915 nt
Filed under: uncultured archaeon
Lineage: Archaea
Description: bacterial SSU rRNA
Rfam family: Archaeal small subunit ribosomal RNA
Source: RNAcentral
UUCCGGUNGAUCCUGCCGGACCUGACUGCUAUCGGAUUGAUACUAAGCCAUGCGAGUCAUUGUAGCAAUACAAGGCAGACGGCUCAGUAACGCGUAGUCAAUCUACCCUAUGGACGGGAAUAAUCUCGGGAAACUGAGAAUAAUGCCCGAUAGAACAUUAUACUUGGAAUGGUUUAUGUCUCAAAUGAUUUAUCGCCAUAGGAUGGGACUGCGGCCUAUCAGUUUGUUGGUGAGGUAAUGGCCCACCAAGACUAUUACAGGUACGGGCUCUGAGAGGAGUGGCCCGGAGAUGGGUACUGAGACACGGACCCAGGCCCUAUGGGGCGCAGCAGGCGAGAAAACUUUGCAAUGUGCGAAAGCACGACAAGGUUAAUCCGAGUGGUUUCUGCUAAAGAAACCUUUUGUCAGUCCUAGAAACACUAACGAAUAAGGGGUGGGCAAGUUCUGGUGUCAGCCGCCGCGGUAAAACCAGCACCCCAAGUGGUCAGGAUGAUUAUUGGGCCUAAAGCAUCCGUAGCUCGUUUUGUAAGUUUUCGGUUAAAUCCAUACGCUUAACGUAUGGGCUGCCGGGAAUACUGCAUAACUAGGAAGUGGGAGAGGUAGACGGUACUCGGUAGGAAGGGGUAAAAUCCUUUGAUCUAUUGAUGACCACCUGUGGCGAAGGCGGUCUACCAGAACACGUUCGACGGUGAGGGAUGAAAGCUGGGGGAGCAAACCGGAUUAGAUACCCGGGUAGUCCCAGCUGUAAACUAUGCAAACUCAGUGAUGCAUUGGCUUGUGGCCAAUGCAGUGCUGCAGGGAAGCCGUUAAGUUUGCCGCCUGGGAAGUACGUACGCAAGUAUGAAACUUAAAGGAAUUGGCGGGGGAGCACCACAAGGGGUGAAGCCUGCGGUUCAAUUGGAUUCAACGCCGGAA